AUUGAACGCUGGCGGCAGGCCUAACACAUGCAAGUCGAGCGGCGCGGCGGACGGGUGAGUACUGCCUAGGAAUCUGCCCGGUGGUGGGGGAUAACGUCCGGCAACGGGCGCUAAUACCGCAUACUAUCAGAUGAGCCUAGGUCGGAUGAGCUAGUUGGUGGUGUAAAGGCCUACCAAGGCGACGAUCCGUAACUGGUCUGAGAGGAUGAUCAGUCACACUGGAACUGAGACACGGUCCAGACUCGUACGGGAGGCAGCAGUGGGGAAUCUUGGACAAUGGGCGAAAGCCUGAUCCAGCCAUGCCGCGUGUGUGAAGAAGGUCUUCGGAUUGUAAAGCACUUUUAGUUGGGAGGCGUUACCAACAGAAUAAGCACCGGCUAACUUCGUGCCAGCAGCCGCGGUAAUUC
This 407-nucleotide ribosomal RNA is filed under the name uncultured bacterium. Its description in RNAcentral is "partial 16S ribosomal RNA". It matches the Rfam family "Bacterial small subunit ribosomal RNA", at positions 30 to 526 of the family's 1533-position model. The record is from RNAcentral.